GUCGUCUGAUACUGAUCGUUAAGAGGAGCUAUUCAGCGGAGAAAAAUAAAAAGAGAUUUGUUCGAUUUCCCAUUUGCCGCCGCCCGCCAUCACGUCGUUUCAUGCAUCAAAAAUUUUAGUGCUCUUCUUACACCACGUUGCCACCACCACGCUGCCGCCACAUAUUGUCUGCCUCCGCUGUCGUUGUCGUCAUUUGCCACACCACGUUCCAUCCAGCCACCACGUUGUUCCCGCCAGCCGCCACCAAUCUUGCUAAAAUAAUUUCUGUGCCAUCACGUUGCCACCACCACGCUGCCGCCACAUAUUGUCUGCCUCCGCUGUCGUUGUCGUCAUUUGCCACACCACGUUGUUCCCGCCAGCCACCACCAUCAUCACGCUAAAAUAAUUCCUGUGCCAUCACGUUGCCACCACCACGCUGCCGCCACAUCCGCCACAUUAUUGUCUGCCUCCGCUGUCGUCGUCAUUUGCCACAAAACGUUCUAUCCAGCCACCACGUUGCUCCCGCCAGCCGCCACCAAUCUUGCUAAAAUAAUUCCUGGUAUGUACCUACUUUUUAUGAUUUAUAUUAUAUAUAUAUCGAUACCUUACCAGAAGAAUGUAUUAAACCCUUUGCUCCCGGAAAAAAAUACAAAUAUCUUGAAAAAAAGUUUUGAUAUUUUCUAAUUAAACACUAAUAUGAAAAAAUAAUGAUUGUACUAGUAAUAACAUUGUAUAGAGAAGUCCAUUUUUUAUUAAAAAAAAACUAACAAAGUAAUUAAUACGUGGUUUCAUGCUGAAACCACUAGGAAGCAAAGGGUUAAACGACAUUCUCAAAAUUUGUAUAAACUUAAAACAAACUUGCUGUUCAUUUAAAAGAAAUAGAACUACAAUUACUGCCUAGAAUCAUUUUUAUUAAUAUUUUAAAAUUUGAUUGCAUUAUAAUCAUUAACACUCUACCGCAAA
This is a long non-coding RNA of Episyrphus balteatus (marmalade hoverfly), 942 nucleotides long. RefSeq lists it as uncharacterized. The transcript has 5 exons. NCBI's taxonomy places the organism in Eukaryota, Metazoa, Arthropoda, Insecta, Diptera, Syrphidae. The record is from RefSeq and is a predicted model, not a curated record.